UGUAGGCUGCAACUCGCCUACAUGAAGCUGGAAUUGCUAGUAAUCAUAGGUCAGCAUACUAUGGUGAAUACGUUCCCGGGCCUUGUACACACCGCCCGUCACACCAUGAGAGUUGAGAAUACCCGAAGUCCAUGUUAAAGUGGCCGAAGGUAGGCUUGAUGAUUGGGGUGAAGUCGUAACAAGGUAUC
This 188-nucleotide ribosomal RNA is filed under the name uncultured bacterium. RNAcentral describes it as "partial 16S ribosomal RNA". It matches the Rfam family "Bacterial small subunit ribosomal RNA", at positions 1299 to 1500 of the family's 1533-position model. The record is from RNAcentral.